RNAcentral lists this ribosomal RNA (806 nucleotides) under Arthrobacter sp. RNAcentral describes it as "bacterial SSU rRNA". It matches the Rfam family "Bacterial small subunit ribosomal RNA", at positions 63 to 883 of the family's 1533-position model. Lineage: Bacteria; Bacillati; Actinomycetota; Actinomycetes; Micrococcales; Micrococcaceae. The record is from RNAcentral.
CGAACGAUGAACCCCUUCGGGGGGGAUUAGUGGCGAACGGGUGAGUAACACGUGAGUAACCUGCCCUUGACUCUGGGAUAAGCCUGGGAAACCGGGUCUAAUACCGGAUACGACCUGUCACCGCAUGGUGUGCGGGUGGAAAGAUUUAUCGGUUUUGGAUGGACUCGCGGCCUAUCAGCUGGUUGGUGGGGUAGUGGCCCACCAAGGCGACGACGGGUAGCCGGCCUGAGAGGGUGACCGGCCACACUGGGACUGAGACACGGCCCAGACUCCUACGGGAGGCAGCAGUGGGGAAUAUUGCACAAUGGGCGCAAGCCUGAUGCAGCGACGCCGCGUGAGGGAUGACGGCCUUCGGGUUGUAAACCUCUUUCAGCAGGGAAGAAGCGCAAGUGACGGUACCUGCAGAAGAAGCGCCGGCUAACUACGUGCCAGCAGCCGCGGUAAUACGUAGGGCGCAAGCGUUAUCCGGAAUUAUUGGGCGUAAAGAGCUCGUAGGCGGUUUGUCGCGUCUGCUGUGAAAGCCCGGGGCUCAACCCCGGGUCUGCAGUGGGUACGGGCAGACUGGAGUGCAGUAGGGGAGACUGGAAUUCCUGGUGUAGCGGUGAAAUGCGCAGAUAUCAGGAGGAACACCGAUGGCGAAGGCAGGUCUCUGGGCUGUAACUGACGCUGAGGAGCGAAAGCAUGGGGAGCGAACAGGAUUAGAUACCCUGGUAGUCCAUGCCGUAAACGUUGGGCACUAGGUGUGGGGGACAUUCCACGUUCUCCGCGCCGUAGCUAACGCAUUAAGUGCCCCGCCUGGGGAGUAC